This 497-nucleotide ribosomal RNA is filed under the name uncultured bacterium. RNAcentral's name for it is "partial 16S ribosomal RNA". It matches the Rfam family "Bacterial small subunit ribosomal RNA", at positions 28 to 507 of the family's 1533-position model. The record is from RNAcentral.
GAUGAACGCUGGCGGCGUGCCUAAUACAUGCAAGUCGAGCGAACGGACGAGAAGCUUGCGUCUCUGAUGUUAGCGGCGGACGUGUGAGUAACACGUGGAUAACCUACCUAUAAGACUGGUAUAACUUCGGGAAACCGGAGCUAAUACCGGAUGAUAUUUUGAACCGCAUGGUUCAAAAGUGAAAGACGGUCUUGCUGUCACUUAUAGAUGGAUCCGCGCUGCAUUAGCUAGUUGGUAAGUUAACGGCUUACCAAGGCAACGAUGCAUAGCCGACCUGAGAGGGUGAUCGGCCGCACUGGAACUGAGACACGGUCCAGACUACUACGGGAGGCAGCAGUAGGGAAUCUUACGCAGUGGGCGAAAGCCUGACGGAGCAACGCCGCGUGAGUGAUGAAGGUCUUCGGAUCGUAAAACUCUGUUAUUAGGGAAGAACAUAUGUGUAAGUAACUGUGCACAUAUUGACGGUAACUAAUAAGAAAGCAACGGCUAACUACGUG